RNAcentral lists this ribosomal RNA (668 nucleotides) under uncultured bacterium. RNAcentral's name for it is "bacterial SSU rRNA". It matches the Rfam family "Bacterial small subunit ribosomal RNA", at positions 28 to 693 of the family's 1533-position model. The record is from RNAcentral.
AUUGAACGCUGGCGGCAUGCCUUACACAUGCAAGUCGAACGGUAACAGGUCUUCGGAUGCUGACGAGUGGCGAGCGGGUGAGUAAUACAUCGGAACGUGCCCGAUCGUGGGGGAUAACGCAGCGAAAGCUGUGCUAAUACCGCAUACGAUCUACGGAUGAAAGCGGGGGAUCGCAAGACCUCGCGCGGACGGAGCGGCCGAUGGCAGAUUAGGUAGUUGGUGGGAUAAAAGCUUACCAAGCCGACGAUCUGUAGCUGGUCUGAGAGGACGACCAGCCACACCGGGACUGAGACACGGCCCAGACUCCUACGGGAGGCAGCAGUGGGGAAUUUUGGACAAUGGGGGAAACCCUGAUCCAGCCAUGCCGCGUGCAGGAUGAAGGCCUUCGGGUUGUAAACUGCUUUUGUACGGAACGAAAAGGUCCUUUCUAAUAAAGAGGGCUCAUGACGGUACCGUAAGAAUAAGCACCGGCUAACUACGUGCCAGCAGCCGCGGUAAUACGUAGGGUGCGAGCGUUAAUCGGAAUUACUGGGCGUAAAGCGUGCGCAGGCGGUUAUAUAAGACAGAUGUGAAAUCCCCGGGCUUAACCUGGGAACUGCAUUAGUGACUGUAUAGCUGGAGUGCGGCAGAGGGGGAUGGAAUUCCGCGUGUAGCAGUGAAAUGCGUAG